Molecule: long non-coding RNA, 852 nt
Filed under: Citrus x clementina
Lineage: Eukaryota; Viridiplantae; Streptophyta; Magnoliopsida; Sapindales; Rutaceae
Description: Citrus clementina (C. clementina) long non-coding RNA (CCLE_LNC002500)
Source: RNAcentral
UUAUUUUUUAUCAACUCAAUUAAUCCAACUCAGCCCAACACAUCCCGAUAAUUUAAAAGUUGGAUUCGUUUUGGUUAAAUAUAUUUAUUUAGUUGAAUUAUGUUAAUUUUUUGGCAACCCAAUUAGUAGUGAGUUGGAUUAAAUUUUCACAGGCCCAUUCCAAUCUAACCCAUACCCACCCUUAGGCUGCACAGUUAAUGAAACGGUGUCCAAGUCCAACAAACAACCCUGAUAGGUGACAAAUGGAAAUCACCAGCUAAAUUUUCGUUUUUUCACUUUCACUUUUGUGUUAUAUUCUUUAUAUACUAAGCACGUAUAUUUUGUUGACAAUUAGAUUGAUAUCACUAAAUAGUUGAUAAAUCAAUGCCACAAGUUGGAUUUUUUUUUUCAUUUUCAUAUUAUAUUCUUUAUUUACUAACCAUCAAUCACUCAUAUAUAUUUUGUUGAUAAUUCGUAUUUUGUUGAUAAUUUGUAACCAGCAAAUAGCUGCGAUACCACUGUUUAGAUUUUCAUUUCUUUUUCCCAUUUUCCCUCUUAAAAUUUUAAGUUGAAAUAUGAUCCUUUUAUAAUAUGAGCCUCACAAGUUCACGAAAAUGUAUUAUGGGUGCGUUUGACAUACUUUAUUUGUUGUAUUGCAUUAAGGUACAUUGUGAAAAGAUUUUAUUCAACGGUAUGUUUGGUGUAGCAUAGACUGUAUUAUAUAAAAUAAUGGUAAAUGUUUGUUCAGUCCUUAUAUUUUAAAAAAAUGUCUCAAAAUAUCCCUACUGUUAAACAUGAUACACUUUUAUCCUUACUUUUUUUUACUUUUACAAUAAUACUCAUGCAAUAAUAUUUUUUACAUUAAUUUUUUUA